Non-coding RNA from Oryza sativa Japonica Group (Japanese rice), 839 nucleotides. Lineage: Eukaryota; Viridiplantae; Streptophyta; Magnoliopsida; Poales; Poaceae. The record is from RefSeq and is a predicted model, not a curated record.
CAAACCAAUCCCACUUCGUCAAUUAUCCACCAAAUAUAAAAAAUCAAUUAUUUCACAUACCAAUUGUUCAUCACAAAAUAAUAAUCAAAACACAAUUUGAUUUCAGUGAAACAAUUGUAAAGAAUUCAUAUUAAUUCUUCAGUUAUGAUAUAUAGGUUUUCCACAUUCAUCAUACCAUACUAGAGAUAAUAUGUGUUAGGCUUUGAGACAUCGGAAUCAUUGUUAUGGUUAUGCCUGUAUGACAUCGUCAUGGUGAAUGGAAGCAUAGUUGUUUUGGUUCGUGAUAACCAUGUCAGCUUGUUGGUACCAAGACUGAAGAAGGCGCGGGACAAGCAGUAUUUAUAAAGCUUAGCUAUUGGUUGAAAUUAAGGCGACAAUGUGGCUAUUGCCUGAAGUGAAAAGUGAAAACUGAAUUGGCUAGCAGAGAGUGCAGUGGAGUUGGUAACGAUCUUGCGAGCUAUGCUUGAUUCUGUAACACAGUUGGAUGGGGGAAUUCCUCGUCUAGUGUUCGAUAGAAAAAUCCUAAGUUGAUGUGUAAACAAAACUCUCCUUUCCAUUAAAAAAAAAAGGAAAAGCGCCCUCCAUUGUGAUCUCUUCGAAGACGAUGAAUUUUAUAUGGGCUGGUUUUACGUUUUUCCAUUGAUUGAACAAAUGAGUAUGUGAAAUAUAAUUGUUCAUUGUUCAUUGUUCAGUCUCUAUAUGCAAGUAAGAAAGAAGAAUACAAUAGAAUCAAAACAAUGUAGAUGCUUAUUCCCGCUUGCUCAUCUCAUGCCGCCAUGAACAUUUAGCUGAUUAUAGUUAUUUUCUGUGCAACAUGGUUGAGUUUGAGGUUUUGAGCC